GCGGAUAUGGCGGAAUUGGCAGACGCGCAAGACUAAGGAUCUUGUGAAGUAACAUUCUUGCAGGUUCAAAUCCUGUUAUCCGCACCA
RNAcentral lists this transfer RNA (87 nucleotides) under Clostridia bacterium. RNAcentral's name for it is "tRNA-Leu". It matches the Rfam family "tRNA". From Rfam's summary of the family: Transfer RNA (tRNA) molecules are approximately 80 nucleotides in length. Their secondary structure includes four short double-helical elements and three loops (D, anti-codon, and T loops). Lineage: Bacteria; Bacillati; Bacillota; Clostridia. The record is from RNAcentral.